This 231-nucleotide ribosomal RNA is filed under the name Vibrio parahaemolyticus. RNAcentral's name for it is "partial 23S ribosomal RNA". It matches the Rfam family "Bacterial large subunit ribosomal RNA", at positions 2110 to 2340 of the family's 2925-position model. The record is from RNAcentral. Lineage: Bacteria; Pseudomonadati; Pseudomonadota; Gammaproteobacteria; Vibrionales; Vibrionaceae.
CUUGGCACUGAACAUUGACCCUACAUGUGUAGGAUAGGUGGGAGGCUUUGAAGCACGUACGCCAGUAUGUGUGGAGCCGUCCUUGAAAUACCACCCUUGUAGUGUUGAUGUUCUAACGUCGACCCCUUAUCGGGGUUACGGACAGUGCCUGGUGGGUAGUUUGACUGGGGCGGUCUCCUCCCAAAGAGUAACGGAGGAGCACGAAGGUGGGCUAAUCACGGUUGGACAUCG